UCGGCAGAAAGAUCUGAAGCAUUUGCCAAAUUGCUGAAGCAGAAGGAUAUCGCCUGCAGGAAGUUGUUCAGCUAAAUGAACAUCUGCUGUAUUGAAGCUCUGCAGCUUAGUUUUAAAAACAUGUGUAAGCUGUGGCCCCUGCUGAAGAAGUUGAUGGAGAGACAAUGAAAAACAUUAGAGGAUAUUCAAAACAAAACCAUCCUAAAGCAGGCUCUAGAGAGAAAGCAGGUGAGCACCAAGAUUCAAGCGAUCAGGAUUGAGAAGCACAUGGUCUGAGUGUGGCUCUGUAAUUGGUGCCAGAAAGGCACCAAGAAAUAACUAUUCUCAAUGAGAAGACUUUGAGGCCACUGAGUAUCCUUUCACAAGACCAGUGUGCUUUCCUCUGAUACCUGAGCCUCAUUUUGGUACUUCAAACUAUGGGGACCAUCACAUCAAUACUCUGUACUUCUCAGUUCUUUUCACUCUUAAAUAUAAAGCAUUCCCCUCUGUCUUGCACACCACUCUGAGC
RNAcentral lists this long non-coding RNA (508 nucleotides) under Homo sapiens (human). Its description in RNAcentral is "non-protein coding lnc-OR5H1-1:1". The record is from RNAcentral. Lineage: Eukaryota; Metazoa; Chordata; Mammalia; Primates; Hominidae.